Molecule: ribosomal RNA, 516 nt
Filed under: uncultured bacterium
Lineage: Bacteria
Description: bacterial SSU rRNA
Rfam family: Bacterial small subunit ribosomal RNA
Source: RNAcentral
AGUGAAUAGAUACCCUGGUAGUCCUGGCCGUAAACGAUGUCCACUAGAUCGUGGUGGCUCUGACGCCAUCAUGGUCGAAGCAAAGUGCUAAGUGGACCGCCUGGGAAGUACGGUCGCAAGGCUAAAACUCAAAGGAAUUGACGGGGGCUCACACAAGCGGUGGAGCAUGUGGUUCAAUUCGAAGCAACGCGCAGAACCUUACCUGGGCUUGACAUGCUAGGAUUAUCCCUAUGAAAGUAGGGUAGGCCCUUCGGGGUACAACUAGUACAGGUGCUGCAUGGCUGUCGUCAGCUCGUGUCGUGAGAUGUCGGGUUAAGUCCCUUAACGAGCGAACCUUUGCCCUUAGUUACUAACGGGUUAUGCCGAGGACUCUAAGGGGACUGCCGGUGUCAAACCGGAGGAAGGUGGAGAUGACGUCAAGUCCUCAUGGCCUUUAUGCCCAGGGCCACACACGUGCUACAAUGGCGUUCACAAAGCGACCUAAACCGCGAGGUCAUGGAAAUCGCAGAAAUAACG